Pelobates cultripes (western spadefoot toad) is the source of this 1124-nucleotide non-coding RNA. Lineage: Eukaryota; Metazoa; Chordata; Amphibia; Anura; Pelobatidae. The record is from the annotation of a GenBank genome assembly.
CUCAGAGGAAGAGCUCCUUCGCCAGCGCAGCCCGCCCAGCGCCUCCCGCCUGCUAGGCAUGUCAGUUAGCCGCGAGGCUAACAAGACAUUUGCCCUGGGCAUUUGGGGGGCGGCUUUUUUUGCCGCCCCCUGGAAAAUGCCGCCCAAGGCAAAUGCCUUGCGGCUAAAACGCCCCUGGGUGUAUGGUAGGGUUGAACACAUGGAAGGGCUGUAUGGUAGCAAAGAAAGAGCUUAGACUUAUUUCUUUUCCUACAAGUACUCCCCUCAACCCUUGGCUAACAUCACUCCCCCUCAUGGGAGGGAGGACAUGGGAGAGGCAGCAUGGAGGAGGACACCGUGCCGAUAUUGGCUGUCUGGCACCACCAUGCUGUGUGCUGGUGUCAGACACCAAUUUUGCACACGACUGAUAUUACCCAGCCCCGAACUCUGGGCCGGCUAAUGACUCCCAAAGAUUAAGGUUAAGCUCUGUAUGUGCAGCACAUACAGACUCCAGACACCAUGAAAAGUAUCAUGGCGCAUUGAACAAACUUUUAUUCUUCUGAUGUCGGGCUCCAUAGGUUUACCCUGCAUGGCUGACAACACAAAAAUGGCAUGUGUUUUUUUUUUUUUAAUGAUGUUACAGGUUUAAGGUUGAGGACAGGCCAAUGCAUUGAUGGUGUUAAAGUGGACCAGUCACGUCUCUGCAAUUUAAGUCGUUGAAUUUAACAUUGAAAAUCACCUAUAACUUGUGUUAAUUAACCUUUAUUCUAAGAUGCUUCAUUUUCUUUUAAAUUUAUAUUACAGAUUUAGCAAAUUACAUCAUAAUCCAGUUCUAAAAAAACGGAAAAGCCAUGAAACAUUGUCCAAGUGAAGCGUAUCCAGGGCCGGCCUUAGGGAUGUGCGAGCUCUGCGGCCGCACAGGGCGCCAUGGCAACAGGGGCGCCGGGCGGCCAACACAGCUCGCAGGCUGGCCGAGUUCUGUAUUUAAAGUGCAAGUCAAGUGCAUAAUACUGCUUUGCACUUGACUUGCAAAUUAUGAGCAGAGAGCCGCCGCCGGGAAUCCACUUCUGUAUGGAGGGUGGAGGAGGAGCGUGGGGGCGUUAUGCCGCGUACUUGCGUAACGUCGACGUGCUCUGUCAUCAGAG